GGUUAAGCGACUAAGCGUACACGGUGGAUGCCCUGGCAGUCAGAGGCGAUGAAGGACGUGCUAAUCUGCGAUAAGCGUCGGUGAGGUGAUAUGAACCGUUAUAACCGGCGAUUUCCGAAUGGGGAAACCCAGUGUGUUUCGACACACUAUCAUUAACUGAAUCCAUAGGUUAAUGAGGCGAACCGGGGGAACUGAAACAUCUAAGUACCCCGAGGAAAAGAAAUCAACCGAGAUUCCCCCAGUAGCGGCGAGCGAACGGGGAGGAGCCCAGAGCCUGAAUCAGUGUGUGUGUUAGUGGAAGCGUCUGGAAAGGCGCGCGAUACAGGGUGACAGCCCCGUACACAAAAAUGCACAUGCUGUGAGCUCGAUGAGUAGGGCGGGACACGUGGUAUCCUGUCUGAAUAUGGGGGGACCAUCCUCCAAGGCUAAAUACUCCUGACUGACCGAUAGUGAACCAGUACCGUGAGGGAAAGGCGAAAAGAACCCCGGCGAGGGGAGUGAAAAAGAACCUGAAACCGUGUACGUACAAGCAGUGGGAGCCUCUUAAUGGGGUGACUGCGUACCUUUUGUAUAAUGGGUCAGCGACUUAUAUUCUGUAGCAAGGUUAACCGAAUAGGGGAGCCGAAGGGAAACCGAGUCUUAACUGGGCGCUAAGUUGCAGGGUAUAGACCCGAAACCCGGUGAUCUAGCCAUGGGCAGGUUGAAGGUUGGGUAACACUAACUGGAGGACCGAACCGACUAAUGUUGAAAAAUUAGCGGAUGACUUGUGGCUGGGGGUGAAAGGCCAAUCAAACCGGGAGAUAGCUGGUUCUCCCCGAAAGCUAUUUAGGUAGCGCCUCGUGAAUUCAUCUCCGGGGGUAGAGCACUGUUUCGGCAAGGGGGUCAUCCCGACUUACCAACCCGAUGCAAACUGCGAAUACCGGAGAAUGUUAUCACGGGAGACACACGGCGGGUGCUAACGUCCGUCGUGAAGAGGGAAACAACCCAGACCGCCAGCUAAGGUCCCAAAGUCAUGGUUAAGUGGGAAACGAUGUGGGAAGGCCCAGACAGCCAGGAUGUUGGCUUAGAAGCAGCCAUCAUUUAAAGAAAGCGUAAUAGCUCACUGGUCGAGUCGGCCUGCGCGGAAGAUGUAACGGGGCUAAACCAUGCACCGAAGCUGCGGCAGCGACACUAUGUGUUGUUGGGUAGGGGAGCGUUCUGUAAGCCUGUGAAGGUGGCCUGUGAGGGUUGCUGGAGGUAUCAGAAGUGCGAAUGCUGACAUAAGUAACGAUAAAGCGGGUGAAAAGCCCGCUCGCCGGAAGACCAAGGGUUCCUGUCCAACGUUAAUCGGGGCAGGGUGAGUCGACCCCUAAGGCGAGGCCGAAAGGCGUAGUCGAUGGGAAACAGGUUAAUAUUCCUGUACUUGGUGUUACUGCGAAGGGGGGACGGAGAAGGCUAUGUUGGCCGGGCGACGGUUGUCCCGGUUUAAGCGUGUAGGCUGGUUUUCCAGGCAAAUCCGGAAAACCAAGGCUGAGGCGUGAUGACGAGGCACUACGGUGCUGAAGCGACAAAUGCCCUGCUUCCAGGAAAAGCCUCUAAGCAUCAGGUAACAUCAAAUCGUACCCCAAACCGACACAGGUGGUCAGGUAGAGAAUACCAAGGCGCUUGAGAGAACUCGGGUGAAGGAACUAGGCAAAAUGGUGCCGUAACUUCGGGAGAAGGCACGCUGAUAUGUAGGUGAAGCGACUUGCUCGUGGAGCUGAAAUCAGUCGAAGAUACCAGCUGGCUGCAACUGUUUAUUAAAAACACAGCACUGUGCAAACACGAAAGUGGACGUAUACGGUGUGACGCCUGCCCGGUGCCGGAAGGUUAAUUGAUGGGGUUAGCGGUAACGCGAAGCUCUUGAUCGAAGCCCCGGUAAACGGCGGCCGUAACUAUAACGGUCCUAAGGUAGCGAAAUUCCUUGUCGGGUAAGUUCCGACCUGCACGAAUGGCGUAAUGAUGGCCAGGCUGUCUCCACCCGAGACUCAGUGAAAUUGAACUCGCUGUGAAGAUGCAGUGUACCCGCGGCAAGACGGAAAGACCCCGUGAACCUUUACUAUAGCUUGACACUGAACAUUGAGCCUUGAUGUGUAGGAUAGGUGGGAGGCUUUGAAGUGUGGACGCCAGUCUGCAUGGAGCCGACCUUGAAAUACCACCCUUUAAUGUUUGAUGUUCUAACGUUGGCCCCUAAUCGGGGUUGCGGACAGUGUCUGGUGGGUAGUUUGACUGGGGCGGUCUCCUCCUAAAGAGUAACGGAGGAGCACGAAGGUUGGCUAAUCCUGGUCGGACAUCAGGAGGUUAGUGCAAUGGCAUAAGCCAGCUUGACUGCGAGCGUGACGGCGCGAGCAGGUGCGAAAGCAGGUCAUAGUGAUCCGGUGGUUCUGAAUGGAAGGGCCAUCGCUCAACGGAUAAAAGGUACUCCGGGGAUAACAGGCUGAUACCGCCCAAGAGUUCAUAUCGACGGCGGUGUUUGGCACCUCGAUGUCGGCUCAUCACAUCCUGGGGCUGAAGUAGGUCCCAAGGGUAUGGCUGUUCGCCAUUUAAAGUGGUACGCGAGCUGGGUUUAGAACGUCGUGAGACAGUUCGGUCCCUAUCUGCCGUGGGCGCUGGAGAACUGAGGGGGGCUGCUCCUAGUACGAGAGGACCGGAGUGGACGCAUCACUGGUGUUCGGGUUGUCAUGCCAAUGGCACUGCCCGGUAGCUAAAUGCGGAAGAGAUAAGUGCUGAAAGCAUCUAAGCACGAAACUUGCCCCGAGAUGAGUUCUCCCUGAGACUUAGAGUCUCCUGAAGGAACGUUGAAGACGACGACGUUGAUAGGCCGGGUGUGUAAGCGCAGCGAUGCGUUGAGCUAACCGGUACUAAUGAACCGUGAGGCUUAACCUU
RNAcentral lists this ribosomal RNA (2904 nucleotides) under Escherichia coli. RNAcentral's name for it is "23S ribosomal RNA". It matches the Rfam family "Bacterial large subunit ribosomal RNA". The record is from RNAcentral. Lineage: Bacteria; Pseudomonadati; Pseudomonadota; Gammaproteobacteria; Enterobacterales; Enterobacteriaceae.